AUUGAACGCUGGCGGCAGGCUUAACACAUGCAAGUCGAACGAGUGGCGGACGGGUGGGUAAUGCUUGGGAAUCUAGCUUGUGGAUGGGGAUAACUACGGGAAACUGUAGCUAAUACCGCGUACCAUAGGAUGAGCCAAAGUAGGAUUAGGUAGUUGGUGAGGUAAAGGCUCACCAAGCCGACGAUCUCGAGCUGGUGUGAGAGGAUGAUCAUGCAGACUGGAACUGAGACACGGCCCAGACUCCUACGUGAGGCAGCAGUGGGGAAUAUUGCACAAUGGGCGCAAGCCUGAUCCAGCCAUGCCGCGUGUGUGAAGAAGGUCUUCGGGUUGUAAAGCACUUUAAGCUGGGAGGCGUUACCCGCAGAAGAAGCACCGGCUAACUCCGUGCCAGCAGCCGCGGUAAUUC
This 406-nucleotide ribosomal RNA is filed under the name uncultured bacterium. Its description in RNAcentral is "partial 16S ribosomal RNA". It matches the Rfam family "Bacterial small subunit ribosomal RNA", at positions 30 to 526 of the family's 1533-position model. The record is from RNAcentral.